RNAcentral lists this small nucleolar RNA (328 nucleotides) under Cariama cristata (Red-legged seriema). Its description in RNAcentral is "Small Cajal body-specific RNA 7". It matches the Rfam family "Small Cajal body-specific RNA 7". The record is from Rfam by way of RNAcentral. Lineage: Eukaryota; Metazoa; Chordata; Aves; Cariamiformes; Cariamidae.
UGGAAGUGAUGAAAUAGAGAUAAUUGGAUGUCUCUCCGAAUGGAGUGUGUGUGAUAAGUGAAUGUAAACCAAGUCAGAUUGGGGGUGGGCUGUGGGGAAUUGUGUGUGUGUGUGCGUGCAUGCGCAUGUAUAGAAAAGGCUUUGAACGGGGGCACUGAUAAUGCAGUGCUGAUUCCGGAGUGCAUCUGAGGCAUGUUGUUAAGUUCUGGGGUGUCACUUCACAACAUUGCCAAUGAUUAAAGCCCAAAACAAGCCCACCAAGACAAGCCUAGGCAUCCUAAAUCUCUGACAGGUUCACUAAUGAAAGUGAUCCUGUGAUCUGAUCCAU